GCGAGUGAGCGGCAAAAGCUCAAAUUUGAAAUCGGCCACCAGGUCGAGUUGUAAUUUGUAGAUUGUAUCUUGAGAGCGGAUUAAAGUCUGUUGGAACACAGCGCCUUAGAGGGUGACAGCCCCGUAAAAUCUAUUCUCAUUGUAAGAUACUUUCGAAGAGUCGAGUUGUUUGGGAAUGCAGCUCUAAGUGGGAGGUAAAUUCCUUCUAAAGCUAAAUAUUGACGAGAGACCGAUAGCGAACAAGUACUGUGAAGGAAAGAUGAAAAGCACUUUGAAAAGAGAGUGAAAAAGUACGUGAAAUUGUUAAAAGGGAAGGGUAUUGAAUCAGACUUGGUGCUGUUGUUCAACUGUGUUUCGGCAUAGUGUACUCAGCAGUACUAGGCCAAGGUGGGGUGUUUGGGAGUGAAAAAGAAGUAGGAAGGUAACUCUUCGGAGUGUUAUAGCCUACUUUCAUAGCUCCUCAGGCGCCUCAGGACUGCGCUUCGGCAAGGACCUUGGCAUAAUGAUUCUAUACCGCCCGUCUU
This 524-nucleotide ribosomal RNA is filed under the name Geotrichum silvicola. Its description in RNAcentral is "eukaryotic LSU rRNA". It matches the Rfam family "Eukaryotic large subunit ribosomal RNA", at positions 89 to 655 of the family's 3401-position model. Lineage: Eukaryota; Fungi; Ascomycota; Dipodascomycetes; Dipodascales; Dipodascaceae. The record is from RNAcentral.